RNAcentral lists this long non-coding RNA (223 nucleotides) under Sorghum bicolor (sorghum). RNAcentral's name for it is "long non-coding RNA (SBIC_LNC004189)". The record is from RNAcentral. Lineage: Eukaryota; Viridiplantae; Streptophyta; Magnoliopsida; Poales; Poaceae.
GCACCACUAGCAACCCACAGAGACGCGGAGCGGACACAGAAGCGAAGCUGCGAUGGAGAUGCAGGCCUUGUUUAGAUCAUACAAAAACCUAAAAACUUAGAUUUUUCAUCACAUUAAAUUUUGCGGCACAAUACAUAGAGAACUAAAUAUAAACAAAAACAAAAACUAAUUGCACAGUUUGUCUAUAAUUUACGAGACGAAUCUUUUAAGCUUAAUUAACCUA